GGAUUUUUCGGAUCGUGCCUUUAGUGAUACCAAACAGACCUUUACGUUUUACAUAAUGGUUUGUUGGGUGUCACAAAAGCAGGAUUUUUUCAUUG
RNAcentral lists this microRNA precursor (95 nucleotides) under Brugia malayi. Its description in RNAcentral is "microRNA bma-mir-9512 precursor". The record is from miRBase by way of RNAcentral. Lineage: Eukaryota; Metazoa; Nematoda; Chromadorea; Rhabditida; Onchocercidae.